Molecule: long non-coding RNA, 733 nt
Filed under: Anser brachyrhynchus (Pink-footed goose)
Lineage: Eukaryota; Metazoa; Chordata; Aves; Anseriformes; Anatidae
Description: lncRNA (ENSABRG00000011140.1)
Source: RNAcentral
AACGAUCUUGAUCAGGACUGCUUCAUUCUAUGCCAGAGAUAUACAGCUUCCUUCAAGCAUAAAAGUAAAUGUCAUUUGUCCUCACAGUCCCAUAUUAAGACCCAUCUAGCACCUCAGUCCUUUCUUGAAAGGAGGCCUGUGAUUCCCAGAAGUUCACUAGAUGACAGCAUAUGAGGUACAUCACUGCCAAUUUUGACAUGCUGGUUUCAACAAAAAAAAAUGGAAAGUAUUGUUUCAAGAGACUAAAUCCUGAGAGGAAGCAACAGAAGGAAAUGUGUUUCAGAGCACCCAUUUUGGACUAUAGUGAACUAAGCACAAGUAGUCAUACUUCUGAACAAUAAGAUGUUAUUUCUUUGGCCUUACUGACCUUCUCCUCUUGGUCUGCUUGAGCACUUCUGGUUUCAACAGUCAGCACUACCAAGAUACGAAGCAGAGGAAGUAUAUUUGCUAGUCAUGGCACCUACUCCUGAAAGACGCCAGCAGCAGUUGUUGGCUGUAGUUACAGCUUUAUCUAAGGAUGUGUCACAUAUUUAGGCUGUUAUGUGAUCUUUCUUUGCUGCUUUCCCUUCCUAAAAGCUUUCUCCAUUCUCUUAACUUCUAUAAUUUUUUCACAUUUGUGAAUUAGGUGCCGAGUGACUUGCUUAUAAAAUAGCUACAUAGGCUGUUUUACAACUCCAGAGGGGAGCCAGGGCUCUCUUCACAUUAGCAUGCUUUAUGCCUCUAAGCAGGCAAG